RNAcentral lists this transfer RNA (77 nucleotides) under Victivallales bacterium. Its description in RNAcentral is "tRNA-Val". It matches the Rfam family "tRNA". From Rfam's summary of the family: Transfer RNA (tRNA) molecules are approximately 80 nucleotides in length. The record is from RNAcentral. Lineage: Bacteria; Pseudomonadati; Lentisphaerota; Lentisphaeria; Victivallales.
GGGCGGUUAGUUCAGCUGGCUAGAACGUCUGGUUUACACCCAGAAGGUCGGGGGUUCAAGUCCCUCACCGCCCACCA